Molecule: ribosomal RNA, 657 nt
Filed under: uncultured bacterium
Lineage: Bacteria
Description: bacterial SSU rRNA
Rfam family: Bacterial small subunit ribosomal RNA
Source: RNAcentral
GGCGCUUUCGGGUGUCGCUGAUGGAUGGACCCGCGGUGCAUUAGCUAGUUGGUGAGGUAACGGCUCACCAAGGCGACGAUGCAUAGCCGACCUGAGAGGGUGAUCGGCCACAUUGGGACUGAGACACGGCCCAAACUCCUACGGGAGGCAGCAGUAGGGAAUCUUCGGCAAUGGACGAAAGUCUGACCGAGCAACGCCGCGUGAGUGAAGAAGGUUUUCGGAUCGUAAAACUCUGUUGUUAGAGAAGAACAAGGAUGAGAGUAACUGUUCAUCCCUUGACGGUAUCUAACCAGAAAGCCACGGCUAACUACGUGCCAGCAGCCGCGGUAAUACGUAGGUGGCAAGCGUUGUCCGGAUUUAUUGGGCGUAAAGCGAGCGCAGGCGGUUUCUUAAGUCUGAUGUGAAAGCCCCCGGCUCAACCGGGGAGGGUCAUUGGAAACUGGGAGACUUGAGUGCAGAAGAGGAGAGUGGAAUUCCAUGUGUAGCGGUGAAAUGCGUAGAUAUAUGGAGGAACACCAGUGGCGAAGGCGGCUCUCUGGUCUGUAACUGACGCUGAGGCUCGAAAGCGUGGGGAGCAAACAGGAUUAGAUACCCUGGUAGUCCACGCCGUAAACGAUGAGUGCUAAGUGUUGGAGGGUUUCCGCCCUUCAGUGCUGC